Long non-coding RNA from Dipodomys spectabilis (banner-tailed kangaroo rat), 1894 nucleotides. RefSeq lists it as uncharacterized. The record is from RefSeq and is a predicted model, not a curated record. The transcript is spliced from 2 exons. Lineage: Eukaryota; Metazoa; Chordata; Mammalia; Rodentia; Heteromyidae.
CUUCAUGCAUGCAAGGCAAUCGCUUUACCACUGAGCCACCUUCCCAGCCCCUAUACUAAUUUUUAAAUACUUCUGAUACUUGUUUUAUCUUGUCCUGCCUUGUACAGUCAUUAAGCUUAUACUUUACUAUCACUGACAGCCCUAAGAUUCUGCUUGCUAGAUCUGUGCUUUCGUCUUUGGCCCAUCCUGUCUCUGUAGACUUGGAUUCUUAGGCCUGUGCUUAUUAUACUGGAGAAUGUGUAACUAAUUAGAUAAAUUUGUAAUUUAAACCUUUUAGAUCAAACCUGCAUCCAUUAUUGCUAGUGAAACUGGCUCACCCUAUCCCCUGGGAUGGCCUGAGCACCCUCAGACGUUUCUGCUUACGUAAAAAGAGCAGGUGAAUUCCAUGUAGCUCUGGGCUUGCUCUGUGACCCUCCUCCAAUUUUUUGCCAUUUUUUUUCAUUUUCAGGCCUUAGGACCUUAGGUGACACUACCCAAUCUACAUAAAUAAGGAUUCCUCACUACAUCUUCUAAGCCCAAAGAGUCUUCAGUGAAUUUGGUAGAGCAGUGAUAGACAGCUAGCAUUUUUACCAGUAACCUGGUUUGCUUGUUUUUUCAGCUAAAACGGUACAUGGUAUUUUGACUUCUUAUACUCUUUUACAAGUAUGGUCUAGGUACAAAUGAAAACCUUGAAGACAAAUCUGCUCUUGAGGUGACCAGACAUAUCUGUGGAAGUGUGGCAUCCUGUAGGACAGACUGAAAUGCAUGUGCUCAGUGAAGGGUACCUGCCUGGAGAGACAUAGAAUGAAGGACUAUGCUGGAGAGAAGAGAAAGAAGAUUACUGGGAGUGGUGGUGGUGGUGGUGCAUGUCUUCUUCUCAGCAAAGCAGGCUGAAGCAGGAAUAUCUUCAGUUCAAGGCCAGCCUUGACAAUACAGGGAUCCAUGUUGCCAAAAUGCAAGAUCAAGAGGACUAGAAGAAAUCUUUUUGUUCUUUAUAUUAUUUCUGGAUGAUAUGUAGGUAAUGUUUUUAGCUUUCCUUCCCAGCAUAAUAAGUAGAUAGUAUGAAUCUCACUGUACAUCCCUUUGGACUAUUUAAUACACUGUGAAAAUUUCAUAUUGAAAUCUAGCAUUUACCUAGGAAAAUGGAUUCAUUUUACUGGUAAACCACAACAGAAAUUGAGAAUGUAAACAAAGCCUGUCACCACCUGUGUGGUGAAGAAAUUGAACAUUUCAUUCACCCAUCAGUUGUUCUCUGUAGGUUUUUCUUUUAUUGGCCAUGGGACUUUAACUUGGCUUGGGGCACUGUUCCUGAGGUUUCUUGCUCAAGUCUAGCACUCUACCACUUUUAGUCACAGCUCCAUUUCUCAUUUUCUGGUGCCUAAUUGGAGGUAAGAGUCUUGUAGACUGUUUUGCCUCAGUUAUCUUCGAACCAAGAUCCUCAAAUCUCAGCCUGCUGAGUAGCUAGAAUUAUAGGUGUGAGCAGCCAGUGCCUGACCGCUGUCCAUAGUUUUACCUGUAUAGCUUGGAAAUUCUCACCCUCAUUUCCUCUCCUGACUCAUCUCAAUUUUUGGCAUGUUGGCUUACUCUCUACCCCUAGUGCCUCAUUCUUACCUGUUGAUUGGGACCCAGCACAUUUAUGGGCUCUGUCCUUCCUGAUGAGCCCAUCCAGUCAAAGCUUUUCCACAUCAACUUUCAAGACACAAAGCACCUUUCCAAACUUUCAUGUUUUCUUUAAUUUGUAGUGUGUAGAUGUUUUUGGACCUGACCCCAAGCCCCUCCCUCACAAGGACAAGGAAUGUGUAUUUGGCAUUUUUGUGUCCCUAACAUGCAGAAAAAAAGCUUAAUAUUCAUUUGUGAUAGUCAGUGGCACAUUUGUAAUGUGAUUUCUUUAUGAAUAAAAUUUUUAUUUAAUACA